RNAcentral lists this ribosomal RNA (468 nucleotides) under uncultured bacterium. Its description in RNAcentral is "partial 16S ribosomal RNA". It matches the Rfam family "Bacterial small subunit ribosomal RNA", at positions 28 to 507 of the family's 1533-position model. The record is from RNAcentral.
GACGAACGCUGGCGGCGUGCUUAACACAUGCAAGUCGAACGGAAAGGCCCUGCUUUUGUGGGGUGCUCGAGUGGCGCACGCGUGAGUAUCACGCGUGUAUCCUCUCCCUGACUUUGGGGUAUCUUCACGAAACUCGGGCUAAUAUCCGAUAGGAGCUCUUGCUGCAUGGUGGGGGUUGGAAAGUUUCGGCGGUUGGGGAUGGACUCGCGGCUUAUCGGCUGGUUUGUGGGGUAGGGGCUUACCGAGGCUUUGACGGGUAGGCGGCCUGAGAGGGUGGCCGGGGACAAUGGGACUGAGGUACGGCCCAGACUGCAACGGGAGGCAGUGGGGGGGAGUCUUACGCAAUGGGCGGAAGCCUGAUACGACGGCGCCGGGUGCGGGAUGACUGCCUAUGGGUUGUGAACCGCUUUCGCCUGAGACGAAGCGGUAGUGACGGUAAUGGGUAAAGAAGCACCGGCUAACUACGUG